RNAcentral lists this long non-coding RNA (1095 nucleotides) under Marmota monax (woodchuck). Lineage: Eukaryota; Metazoa; Chordata; Mammalia; Rodentia; Sciuridae. The record is from RNAcentral.
GUUUGUCACUGCGUAGUUGGGAAAAGUGGGGAAUGGUGACGCAGUCACUGUUGCAUCUUGCUAGGAGCUCUGUGGGGACAGGUAGUGAGGCUCCCGGGGUCUGUGGGGCCAGCUGAGAGGGGUCAAGGAUGAGCCGAGAAGGGAAGCUAGCAUUUAGAGAUUAAAUGUCAUCCUUUUGGCGUUGGAAAGUUGUUUACCUUGCGCUCUCUGUGUCUCCAUAUUGGCUCCCUUCCAGUUCACAUGUGAUGGCCUUCCCUGUACUGCUGCAUCAUUAACUAAGUGACUGAGCUGGCCUUCCAUUGGCCAGGGGAGGGCUCUCACUCCAGACACUUCCUCUGAUUGGUGGGUGGGCCAAUGGCAGGUGAAAAGCUUUUUAUGAUUGGCUGAGGGCAGGGUAUCAAAUCUGAAUUUGCAUUUCACUUGCUUAAAGGGGAGGGGGGAGAAGCCCAGCAGCUUUCUAAAAUCUCUUCAGGGGUGUGCGUAGGCUCGUGUGUCUGCCUGCUUUUGACUGCCCAGUCGAAGCUUCUUCCUGUGCCUUUUAAAAUUUCAUAGACUAUAGGGAAGAAUAUCUCAGGUCUCCCCAAACUUUCUUUUUUGGAGGGAGGAAGGUUGGGGAGAUGGAUGUGCAGAAGGUUGACCAAAUUGGAAAAAAAAAUAUUUGUCCUUUAGUUUGGUGUUAGAAAAGGGAAUUUUCCAAUCAGCCACACCUCAGUGUUGCGGCAAAAUAAUUCUUGGCUCCCCUGGAAACGCUUGGGCAAGGUAGGGCAGAGCUGCUGCUGCUGCUAUUGCCACCACCCUGGGCUUCCUGCUGACUCUGGGCUACUCCCCGGGGACAAGAGAUUUGCAUUGACGUCUGGGGCAGUCCAAAGAUCCUCAAGAGCCAGUCCUGAGCUGAGACCACUAUGGGAAGACCUGCCUUUUGGAAGCUGCUGCUACCUGGUGCUUGGAAAGGUGAGAACGGGGACAGACCCCAGGAAAUUGCUCAGAAACUGCGUAUUUUGUGGGAUUUCCCCCAAAGUCACAGGGCAAUGAGAGGUUUCAAGGUGCUGGGUUGGAAUGGUUCGUCAGCCUGGGGAACCUGGAGAGAGAGUAAAA